CCCCCCCCCCCCUCUUUUUCUCUCUCUUUCUCUUUCCUUCUCUCUCUCUUCUUCUCUCUCUCUCUCUCUCUCUCUCUCUCUCUCGACUCACUUACCGUGGCCGACUCUGUCAUCCUGGACUCGGGACCCCGACAGUCUGGGAGCCACCGCAGCAGUUCCGCCACUGAGCCAGCCCGCUCCUGACCAGCAAACAUGUGUAAUCUGCACCCAGUACCUCCGCCGGGUCACCUCCAUGAAUCAGUCCCUGCCGCAGCCCCCGAGACCCUGCCGCUCGUAGGGAGCGGUCAGACACCUCCCAACCUUGACAACUCCAAACUUGGCGUUCUCAGGUGCUCCUGACAUUCUUUUUCUCUCUAUAGUCAACUUAUCCUCUUUUCCCUUCAAGGAGGGCCUGUUCUGCUAAACCUUUUCUGGACCCCAGUUCAGCUCUUAACAACCAUGUGUUACGAUACUUCUCUGCCUUUCAGGCAAAAAACCUGCAUUCACAUUUCUGCUCUCUUUUAGCACCAAGACACCAUCGCUCCACAUUCCAACAUCCCAGAGUUUGCUAACCACCCCCCUACUUCAACUUAUCUCUUUCUUCUUUUCUUACUUUUUUUUUUCUUUGAUUCAACACACCUCAGACGGUACGAGCUGUACACAACUAGUUUACUUCCAAAAGUAAGCUUACAACUUUCUUUUACUAGGAUUGCAGUAGCAGUUAUAGCUUAAAUACAUACUGGCUAGCUGUGGCUUACUGGGUCUAACAUCUUUGAUAUACUGGCUACUAGAUUUUUUACUCUUCCUCACUCCUGAACUGAAAUUUUAUGAGCUACUCCAUUUUCUGUACUUAUGUAUAAAUGAUAAAGGAUUUUUCUAACAAGGGUAAGCUUAAAGCUGGUACUUAGGCUAGUUUUAACUUCAACUCUUUUAAUUUAACAAUAUCUUCCUUGGUCCAUUUUAUAUCAUCUCCCUCUGUCAAUUUUUCAUACACAAAUUUUACUGCCUGUGUGUACCCCUCAAUCCAUAAUCUAUAAUAUUUCAAUAAUCCAAGUAAUUUUCUGGUCUCCCUCUUUGAAGAGGGAGGGAGAAGGGAUAAAAUUCCUGCAAUUCUCUCAUGGUUGGGUUUCCAGCUACCAUUAUUUAUUAAGUGUCUAAGAUAUUCUACCUCUGGUUGUACAAAUUAGUUUCCCUUUUGAUACCCUUAAUCCUCCUUUUUUAAAAUUUUUUUUCCCCCAGAGAAUUCAAAAAUUGUAUAGUAGCCUCUCUCACUUCAACUUCAGCCUCCUUAGAUAGUAAAAAUCAUCCACAUACUGGAUAAUUUGUAUUCCAGGAGGAGUAGGGAAAUCUUGUAGUAUUGUUUCUAAAGCUUGCCCAAAUAAGUUUGGGGAUUCCAUAAACCCCUGUGGUAAUUUUGUCCAUCUUAAUUGCUGCUUUCUCCCAGUUUUUGGAUCCUCCCAUUCGAAGGCAAAAAUAUCUUGGCUCUCCUUGGCUAGUGGGCAAGCCCAAAAGGCAUCUUUAAGAUCCACCACACUAAACCACUGAUGCUGGGGUGGGCCUUUACUUAGAAGAGUAUAAGAAUUUGGUAUCACUGGGUAGUGAGUCUGAGUUCUUUUGUUAACCUCCCUUAAAUCUUGUACUAGUCUAUAACUCCCAUCGGACUCCUUUACUGGGAGAAUAGGGGUAUUAUGAGGAGACAUACAAGGUUCUAAUGUCCCAUCCUUUAUUAGUCCUUCUGUUACUGGCUUCAAACCUUCCCUUCCUCCUAAAGAUAUCGGAUAGUGACGUACAGUAUGGGACCAUCUUCUCUCUCAAUUGUAACCCUUAUGGGGUCAAUAUUUAAUCCUCUCCUAUUUCCUUCCCCAGCCCAAACUUCCUUGUUGAUUUUUCUUCAUCCUCUUGGCCUAAUUUUAAAACUCUAGCUGUCUUUUUCCCAUCUUCUGGUAUAACCCCUAUUCCUAAUUUCACUUGUAAGUCUCUCCCCAAUAAGUUGCUACCUGCCCCUGGGACCAAUAAGACAUCUCCCAUCCAAAUUUUAGUUUCCCCCCUCAAUUACCACAUCUUUAAUGACCGGAACUGUAAAACUUUCUCCUUUUGCCCCUGUUAUUCUCACUGUAUGUUUGCUCACACUAUAACCUUUUGAAAUAUUUAACAGGCAAGUUCUUUCUGCCUCUGUGUCUACUACAAAUUCCAAUUCUUCUUGGGGACCCACUUUUAAAGUUAUCACAGGCUCCAGAUGGUAUUUGUCCCCUAAAAAGUAGAGCCUAUGAUCUCCCUAAUCCUCCUCUGUGCCCAUCUCUUUAAAGAUUUUCAGAUCUUCUGCUUGCUUAUGACCAAUUUCCUUUUUCUCUUGUUUAUCUAUUUAGUUGGAGUUUCUUCUUUUCUCUCUAUAAAGCUGUACCUUAAAAACAUUUUUUUUUUUGCAUUUCGCCUUUGAUAUGCUGUCUCAUUUAUUCCCUUGAUUAUGAAAUUAUGAUAAUUAUUCACGUGGUUCCUCCCCUCCUCAUUAUUUUGGCCCCACUCAGGAGGUACAGUUGGCAUUUUGUCUUCUCUGGGGGUCCCUGCGGAUUAUCUUUUUUCCCAAGCUUUUAUUCUAGCUGCUCUGAUUAAUUGCCUUUCUUCCUGAGAAAAUAUUAUUUUCAUUAUAGACCGCAUCUCUUCUCAAGUAUAAAUUUUUGGACGUAAAAAUUGGUCUAACUGUUCAGCUGUGCCUAUGGGAUCCUCCAAAUAUUCCUUUUAUUUAUUUCUUAAAAUUUCUGACCUCAGACGAAGUCAAAGGGGCAUUUACAAACCCCGGUCCGCCCCCUCCUAUGGGAACCUCUCUUAAUAUAAAUAGACUAAUCCCUUUUUCCCAUUCUUUUUGGAUUUUUAUCUCCUAUAGCCUUUCUCCUGUGUUUUUAGGAAGAAUCAGGAGAGGGCUUUCCUUUAACUGAACUUUUAGCGUUUCGAUAAGGUGUUCCCUUUAGAAAGUGAAUUUCUCUGAACAGCCGGAGCUGUGGUUACCAAGGGAACGGAGCUCGAGGCAGGACGGGUGGGACUCGGCAUAGCGCCGAGUCUCGGUCCUCCGAAGGCGGGGUCUGCAGGCGGAAUCGCCCGAGGGGGAUUUUCCGGUGCAGACCGAUCUGGAGCGUGGAUAGCCCCCCACAUGGCUAAUGGCGGCUGAUCCGGCAGAGACCAAGCCGGCGAGAGACCCCGGCUGCAGCGGCGGUAGCCGGCCCGGGCAGGGCAGCCGGGAAUGGGACAGACGGGGCAGACGGGACUCCCCGUCGAUGCGGUCGGCGCAGUGACCACGGUCCACACGGCAGGACAGACCCCCACCCCCGCCAGCACGACCGGCGGAGCGGCCGCGGGCCGGGCGGCUGGGACUGGGGCCGACGGACUGUGCCCGAGCCGGCACAGGGGCAGGGGGAUGCAGCCACGAACGAGUGGGGGAAGAAAUGGAACGGAGGAGCCCAGGGACAGAUGUCUAUUUCGGAAUGUCGAAAUUCCUGAAGGCAACAGAAGAACAAUACCCCAGUUUACCUAUGAAUAGACGUGGCCAGCACGAUCAUCCUCAAGAGUAAUCAGGAGACACUCAAGAGUGAUCAUCGCUCGACUGAUACCAUCGAUCAAGAUAACAGAAGUCGCCAGAAAGAUACAUCUGAAUAGGCAACUUCCCCUGACAUGAUCAGCGCCUGCCACUACUCAGGAAACAGCAAUUGUCCAGCCCUGCACAGUGAAAGAAACUCUCAUGCAUAUGAGGGGCUACAAAAGAAAUCGAGGCACCUCUGCCUCAGGCAGAAAAAACUGUAUAAAAUAGCCUCGCUGUAAAUGGCAUUCGUGAACAGAGGGGGAUCCGAUGCGAUAGAAGUCGGAUCUAUGUUCACCCAGCACCAAUCCCAGGCUCGACACUGUCUCUUUGGUUGUGGGUUUUUGAGGACCAUAUUUUGGUCGUGGAAAAUAAAAUCGCAUUUAUUAAUUUGGAUUUCUGACUGAUCAUUUAUAACAUUAGCAACUCAAUGGGAAAAAAAAUUCCACAAGUAACAAGGAAAGAAAAGAAAAAACCCAACCCCCAACAUUAUCCUCCUUCUGCAGUAUUAUCAAUUAAUUCUGCUCAAGCCCUGGCAAGAACCUGCCACCCCCUUAGUUUUAGAUGAAAAAUCAAUCUCCUCUAUCUUUUAUCACAUAUAGCUUAUCCCCAAAGAUAUAUAAGUGAACAAAAAGCCUACCUGCCAAUCUUCACUGCAUUUAUGAAUGGGAUCAUAGUCCUUCAGGGCUUAUUUGCCUUGCUACAGAAUUAAAUUGAAAAUAUCUGAAAAAUCUGAGACAUUAGUUAUGUAAUCUCCCUCCUAAUUUACCAGAGCUUGUCUACAACAAAAAAUUUGGGUCUGGAGAAUGUUAGAAAGGUUUUCAAUAGCUAGUGGAGACAUGAAAUCAAAUGUAACCAAAACAAACAUUUGUUCAUAUAAAGAAGACCCUGCUGCAUUAGCUACAAGGGCCAGUCCUUAAUUUUGAAAAUCAAUAAUUCCCUCCACUAUUGUGAAAAGUGCAUAUUAUAUGGCUUUAUGCAGAUAUUUACUAUAUGUAUUAUGUUGUAUUGAUUAGUAGUGCUGUAUUAACAUUUUAAUAGUAUUGUAAAUGUAGUUUUGUAGUUAAAAUGUACCUUUUGUAGUUAAAACAGAAACUAUGUAUGUGGGACAUUUUUUUAAAGAAAGAAAUUAGGUACUUGUGCCAGAUAGCAGCCACAGGACACGUAAAUCUUUCAGAGAAAGAGAAUUUAUUGCUCAUUUAUGUAGUAUAUAAUAGAGAUAUGUCAUGCUGUGUAUGUAUAUAAAAUAUUGUGAGAUCCAACAUAUGGCUUUGACCACCCUGGCUAAAAUCAGAGUCUUAUUUCUAUUCAACUAGUUCCCGGACAUUGUCAUAAUAUCAAGCCCAUUAAUGUAAGAAUGAAACCUUCCCAGGCCAUAAGCGCCGAUUUCAUAAAAUGUCUGAGCCGUUCACGAGAACUUGCACCCCAGGAGAUUACAUCGACUAGCUCAAGCACUGGCAAUACUCUGUUACAUGUGAAAGAAGGCUAAUCUGAAGAAGCCCAGACAGCCAUCCGGACCUCUGGACUGGCUUUUGUAUACUUCUGCAUCUGUAUGGUCCCAGUUAUACAUGUGAAGGGACACAAAAGAACCUUCCGUCAUUUCUGCCUCAGGUCGAAUAAACGGGAUAUGAGCCAGCUGCAUGAAGCAUUCGGGGUGAACCGCUAAGGAGACGCUGGCACUCUGUCAGUCAGAUCCAGGUUCACCCAGCGCUGACUUCCUGGGUUGACGCUGCCUUGGCUGUGGUGGUUUUUUGAAAUCCUAUUUUUUGUUGUUGAUCUAAUAAAUCUUUGUUAAAUUUUUUAAUAAA
Long non-coding RNA from Haemorhous mexicanus (house finch), 5355 nucleotides. RefSeq lists it as uncharacterized. The record is from RefSeq and is a predicted model, not a curated record. NCBI's taxonomy places the organism in Eukaryota, Metazoa, Chordata, Aves, Passeriformes, Fringillidae. The transcript has 2 exons.